UUUAUAAAUCAAAAUGUGUUUAUAAAUAUCUUAAAUGUAUUGCAAUUGAGUUUGAUCACUGAAUCCUCUUUAAAAUUCAGGCCAGUAUUUUAUAUUACCCAGUAUUGCCCAGUAUUACCCAUUAAAACCCAGUAAAACCCGGGUUUUCCCAGUAUUUCCCACUGGGCUGGGCAAUACUCAUAAAACCCGGGUUUUUGCCAAUCCUGCCU
This 209-nucleotide long non-coding RNA is filed under the name Mytilus galloprovincialis (Mediterranean mussel). Lineage: Eukaryota; Metazoa; Mollusca; Bivalvia; Mytilida; Mytilidae. The record is from RNAcentral.